Molecule: ribosomal RNA, 253 nt
Filed under: uncultured bacterium
Lineage: Bacteria
Description: partial 16S ribosomal RNA
Rfam family: Bacterial small subunit ribosomal RNA
Source: RNAcentral
UACGGGGGGGGCAAGCGUUGUUCGGAAUUACUGGGCGUAAAGGGCUUGUAGGCGGCCAACUAAGUCCGACGUGAAAUCCCCAGGCUUAACCUGGGAACUGCGUCGGAUACUGGAUGGCUUGAAUUCGGGAGAGGGAUGCAGAAUUCCAGGUGUAGCGGUGAAAUGCGUAGAUAUCUGGAGGAAUACCGGUGGCGAAGGCGGCAUCCUGGACCGGCAUUGACGCUGAGGAGCGAAAGCUAGGGGAGCAAACGGG